CCCGCUGAAUUUAAGCAUAUUAAUAAGCGGAGGAAAAGAAACUAACAAGGAUUCCCCUAGUAAUGGCGAAUGAAGCGGGAACAGCUCAAAUUUAAAAUCUCCGUUGCUUGCAACGGCGAAUUGUAGUUUCGAGAAGCACUUUCUCGGCGGAUCCGAGGUCGUCCAAGUUGCUUGGAACAGCACGUCGUAGAGGGUGAAAACCCCGUCUGCGGCGACCUCGGCCGUUUUAAUGAAACCCCUGUACAGUACCUCAUGGUAAGAAAGCAAUAUCUACCUUAG
RNAcentral lists this non-coding RNA (279 nucleotides) under Nematostella vectensis (starlet sea anemone). RNAcentral describes it as "Eukaryotic large subunit ribosomal RNA". It matches the Rfam family "Eukaryotic large subunit ribosomal RNA", at positions 24 to 330 of the family's 3401-position model. Lineage: Eukaryota; Metazoa; Cnidaria; Anthozoa; Actiniaria; Edwardsiidae. The record is from Rfam by way of RNAcentral.